UUGGAGCAAAAGCAACAAAAAUUUGUCGCUUCCUCACCUAAAAACAACGGAGGGAUAAACCCUGAGUAUGGAAUUACUCAGCAAGUCUUACCCGACUAAGGAAAAGACUCUCAAGGGUAUGCUGGAUAAAUAGGAAUCAAGGAGAGGCUUUAGCAAGAAUCAACUUAGAUACUUUUGCAGAAAUAGCUUACUGAAGUGAGUCCUUACUUUCAACAUUUUAACGCCAGAUUAAAUAUUAAUAGACUCUGUUUGCCUCUAGUCUAAUUUCAUCAUCUCAUCAAUACAACAUCAUUUUUAUUCACGAAGUUCACAUCCUGACUUAGGUUGUAGGGCAGUGAUCAAGUCUCCACUCUCCGGGGAUAUAACGGCGAUCCAAAUCGAUUUACUCAGCUGAGGAUCUCUAACCACACGACAUAUGUAGCACUUAAUCCUUGCAUAUGUCAACUCGACCCCAGGGUUCUUAAGACCAGAUCAGGUUCACGUAAACCGAGAGCACAGAUACACCACCGUCCAGCCUCUUGCCACGAAGGGUACACGCUACUCCCGCCACCGCUCCACGCCCAUUUCGUGUUAUCUUAUUCUGGCCUUAGUCUGCCAGGCAAAGCUUACCCUGUCCCAUUUCCAGGGUAUGCGACUAGCUAAGAUAGUCCUUGCUCUAUCAAGCCUACAUACGCAUUCAAUCCUUAAUCAACCUGGGUAGAACAUCACCUGUUCCUAGCCCAAGUCUCGAUUUAAGUAUUUCCAUCCUUAGGAUUGUUUCUGUUCCUUAGGAUGAAAAGAGCAUCACAGAGAACUUUGCAGUAAGAUCCCACCAUGCUCCCAAUGAAAAUAUAUUCUUGCAGGUAGAAGUCAUCUUUCCUCAGGAUAACCCCUGAGCAAGGCCUUAACGCAAAAGACAACUUCCAUCCACAAGAUCUAAGUAGGGCUAAGCAUUUUUGUAAAUCAAAUUUUGAUACUUCCAAAGAAGUAUCUAUAACAGGUAUGGAUAUCAAGGAAGGCAAUGCAUCAAAGGGUUUCAAGCAACUCCUAUAAACUUAAUGCACAUUUCACUAGACUUAAAGUGUGCGAAAAGUAUUUAAAAACACAAGGAAGGGGUUGUAUGCACCGGGGCUUGCCUUUGUUUAUAGAUGAGUUAGUCUCAGGCCCGCAGAUGUUAAAGUAGAGACGAGACCCUGCCUGAGACUCCAAAGGUGGUGUUGUCUUCUCUUCAGGUACUUCCACUUCUUCUUCGCGUUCUAAAUAUAACCAUAUAGGUAUAUAUAUAAGAAUGAAUGCCAUGUAAUGCAAACUCUUACAAGGAGAGGUGGAGAACAGAAACACUACAACUAAAGCACAUGACAAGAAUAUACCUAUUUCUCAUUGCUCGAUUAAAGUGACCAAUUUGAAAUCACUUAGGUAAAUCAGGGAAUUAAUCCAACCAAGGUAUCAAUCAAAAGCUUGAAAACUCCUUAAGUAACUUCAUCCAAGGGUCAAAAUCUCACUAGAUCAACAUGCCUCUGCCCCAAAAGCACUUAGUUCCAUAAGUAAGGAUUUAAUAACUAUUUUUGGACCUUACAAGACUUUCAGGUCAAAAGGCUUCCAAACAGCCCCAAAAAUUUACCAAGUGUUCCACUUCUGAUAAAAAGUAUCUUCCAGAAUUUCCAGAAUUUUUGGUGUUAUACUUUUAUUUCUAAAAUCCAAACAGUCCUUACAAAGGCACCUUUAAAUCACUUAAUAAUUUCUAACUGUCCUAAAAAUCCGAAAACCAACUUUACUAGAGAGCUUUGAUUUUAUACAUCCAAUAAAAUUUGUGCCAUGAUUUUUGGAAUUUUCUACAAAUUUUGGCACCAUUUCUAAUCUCUCAGCUAAUAGAAAAGGCAAAACUCAGAACAGUAUCGGGCCUAAACUCACUCAGCCGGCCCAACCGCAGACAGACCUGGCCCGUGACCGAGGCCCCACGCCUGCACCGACGCUUUUGCGCAGAGACCCUCUAUGCCUGAACAAAACUAACCCGGGUCCAUGUCACAGCAUUAAGGCCCCUCGGUUUCAUCUCUUUUGCAAACUCCCAUCCACGACAUUGCCGUGCUCAGCCCCAGUAAACCGGCACCAGACCAGCCAUGACAGUGUGACCUAGUCAACGGCGACGGCAACAUCGCGACCACCAAGCAACGGUGGACUCAGACCUGUUUUCAAUCGACAGUGGGGAUGCUAAGACAUAACUACCGACGGCGGCGGUGGCAAACUCAGUCCGGUGGGCUCAAUUCUAUGGCCACCGCAUGGUAGAGCUUCAAACUCCGACGCAGGGAGCAAUAGGGACCUACCACGACUACAGUGCUUGCAUGAAACCGGCCAAGAACGACACAAUUUAACCGGUCGGCGGUGAGACUGUCUAUGGUGACGGUCUGUGGCGGUGCGGCCCUGUUUUGGUUAACACAAGAUAGUAGACUGAAAUUACCAACGGGAAAACCUUUACUGACCUUAGGAGAACGUGGAACGCGGGUCAUACGAACUGGUCACUCCCUGAGAUGUCUUGGUCACAACGAGGUGAGGAACCGGUGAGCGUGGUCACCAGACUUAGCACGCGCAGCACAUGACAGUGCUAACCUGGGCUGGGGAGAGGAUUAACACCAGCAGUGGCUACAUGUCGCAGGUAGCCGUGUGGCUGCAGGGAUUCGAGCCCAGGUCACUACGAUGAACUUGGCUAGCAACCAUGGAGACCAUGAGCACUCUUAU
This 2712-nucleotide long non-coding RNA is filed under the name Zea mays. Its description in RNAcentral is "long non-coding RNA (ZMAY_LNC002265)". The record is from RNAcentral. Lineage: Eukaryota; Viridiplantae; Streptophyta; Magnoliopsida; Poales; Poaceae.